UAGUGUACUUUGAUGGAGAAAGUAGCUAUAUGAAAACCACCAGGGAGAAAAGGCCAUGACUGAAAGCCUUUUUUGGGACUAAUAUAGUGAAGUUCACUCCGGAGUUCCAAAUGUGAAAAUUAAGCGUCUUAAUCGUAGCAUUUGGCGGUUAAAACCGAUAACUUUAACCAAGUGAACAGUAUAUAAGAUACUGUUAAUUAGGGUGGUACCGCGGAUUUUCCGUCCCUUUU
RNAcentral lists this non-coding RNA (230 nucleotides) under Clostridium sp. RNAcentral describes it as "T-box sequence". It matches the Rfam family "T-box leader". From Rfam's summary of the family: Uncharged tRNA acts as the effector for transcription antitermination of genes in the T-box leader family. T-boxes are found upstream of many aminoacyl-tRNA synthetase genes and some amino acid biosynthetic genes usually in Gram-positive bacteria. Lineage: Bacteria; Bacillati; Bacillota; Clostridia; Eubacteriales; Clostridiaceae. The record is from RNAcentral.